UGCGACCGUGUAACAAAUGAAACAAGAGACACUGGUAUAUAUCUCGUGAAACAAACGAAAUAAAAGACUCUGGUACCCGUGUAACAAACAAAAGACUCUGGUCUAAUGCCCGUGUAACAAGUGAACUAAAAGACUUUGG
Molecule: ribosomal RNA, 139 nt
Filed under: Monocystis sp. T2_01
Lineage: Eukaryota; Apicomplexa; Conoidasida; Eugregarinorida; Monocystidae
Description: 5.8S ribosomal RNA
Source: RNAcentral